GCAGUAGUGGUUCAAUUGUAGGAUUCUCACAUUCCAUGCAGGAGACCUGGGUUCAAUUCCUGGCCACUGCA
RNAcentral lists this transfer RNA (71 nucleotides) under Loxodonta africana (African savanna elephant). It matches the Rfam family "tRNA". Rfam says of the family: Transfer RNA (tRNA) molecules are approximately 80 nucleotides in length. Lineage: Eukaryota; Metazoa; Chordata; Mammalia; Proboscidea; Elephantidae. The record is from Rfam by way of RNAcentral.